Molecule: ribosomal RNA, 402 nt
Filed under: uncultured bacterium
Lineage: Bacteria
Also listed under: 1 other name
Description: bacterial SSU rRNA
Rfam family: Bacterial small subunit ribosomal RNA
Source: RNAcentral
UAGGGAAUAUUGGUAAUGUGCGAAAGCGCGAACCAGCAACGCCGCGUGCACGAUGAAGGCCUUCGGGUUGUAAAGUGCUUUUAGAGAGGAUGAGGAAGGACAGUACUUUCUGAAUAAGCCUCGGCUAACUACGUGCCAGCAGCCGCGGUAAAACGUAGGAGGCUAGCGUUAUCCGGAUUUACUGGGCGUAAAGCGCGUGCAGGUGGUUUCGUAAGUUGGAUGUGAAAGCUCCUGGCUUAACUGGGAGAGGUCGUUCAAAACUGCGAGGCUUGAGAGUGGUAGAGGGAGGUGGAAUUCCGGGUGUAGUGGUGAAAUGCGUAGAUAUCCGGAGGAACACCAGUGGCGAAAGCGGCCUCCUGGACCAUUUCUGACACUCAGACGCGAAAGCUAAGGUAGCAAACG